This 826-nucleotide long non-coding RNA is filed under the name Coccomyxa subellipsoidea. RNAcentral's name for it is "long non-coding RNA (CSUB_LNC000052)". The record is from RNAcentral. Lineage: Eukaryota; Viridiplantae; Chlorophyta; Trebouxiophyceae; Coccomyxaceae.
UCCGGUGAUAGGCAGACUCCGAGCAUAUAGUGGUAUGCGAUCAUAUCUGUACGUCUUCCUCUCUCACGUGAGAGCCCAAUCCUGAAGUUCUUCCUAACGAGGAGGUCCUCACGCAAAGAACGCAUUCACUCCGCUGGCAAGUCCCAAGUGGGUGUAUAUGUAUCGCAGAGGAUUCUGAGAGACAAAGAAGAUUUUUCGAGACGGGAACUGGUACAUACCGCGAGGUUUCGUUCUCCAGGAAAACAUUUUGCAAGAUGACGAGAUUUGAGCAGCGUAAAGCCACCUGAAUCCUAGAACCGUGCCACUGCCCAAAUCAACACCGCCGUCUAUGAGACGAAGUAUUGUUGGAAUACGCUCCUCCACGACGUUCUGGCAAGCUAGCUGAAACGGCAUGUCUGCAAAUCCCCUCGCUGUGUCAAGGCUUUGGGGAGCCUGUCAGGGGCUCUUCAUUGCUGCAGCUAUCCUUGCACAGGCAAAAUCGAUAAAGGACCACCCCCUGCAAGCUGACAUCACCAAUACUGGUGAUGGCGGACAAGGUGCUUUCUUGCCACCAACAAAAUUUUAUGUGCGUGUCAAGCACACUGGAUACUAUAACAUGUCAUUGUGGCAGUUCGUAGUCACCUGCUUUCUGCAGUGUCUGGCGGUGCGAGUGCGCGCUUAUUGUCAUGACUCAUGGCAACUUAUUCUUUGCUGCCUUGCAGAUGCCCUCAACCGGGAGUAUAUGCAGCUGCACACAGUCGCGCAUGUUGAUAAGCUGGCGAUCUGCAAUGAUCGGUCCCCAGGAGCAUACUACCAUCGGCCAGGGACAGCAGACAACAGCACAAGG